ACUCAAUACUCUUAUGAAAACAAUUCGCCUAAGAGGAACUCGUGAGCGAAUUUAUUUUUCAUCAUGAAAUUCUUCUACAUUUUCACGAUCAUUGUGACACUGGCAUUGGCUGUCAGUGGUCGAGAGCACUGCAGAGUUUGGUGUUCGAAGAAUCGUCAUUGCUGUUCGUACUCUUGUAUCAACGGAAAAUGUGCCUGAUUAAAUAAUUAACUAUGUAGUCGAUAGCAAAAUAAAUUUGUCUCUAAGGGAAACCAUGGAAAAA
Diachasmimorpha longicaudata is the source of this 262-nucleotide long non-coding RNA. RefSeq lists it as uncharacterized. The record is from RefSeq and is a predicted model, not a curated record. The transcript has 2 exons. Lineage: Eukaryota; Metazoa; Arthropoda; Insecta; Hymenoptera; Braconidae.